ACAAAAAUCAGCAUUUUACUUUUUUUUUCUUCUUUUUUUUUGUGUGUUAACAGGCCAUUUUCUGUAAGCCCAAAAGGCCAAAAACACAUGACCAUUCUUUAAAAAAUAUGUUUGGCCCAAAAUUAUAAAACCAAAAUAACCGAGUAGCAAUAACCGAAAUAACCGUGUCCGAACAGAACCGAAAUUGUAUUCGGUUUAGUUCGAA
RNAcentral lists this long non-coding RNA (205 nucleotides) under Capsella rubella. RNAcentral's name for it is "long non-coding RNA (CRUB_LNC002205)". Lineage: Eukaryota; Viridiplantae; Streptophyta; Magnoliopsida; Brassicales; Brassicaceae. The record is from RNAcentral.